Molecule: transfer RNA, 77 nt
Filed under: bacterium
Lineage: Bacteria
Description: tRNA-Glu
Rfam family: tRNA
About the family: Transfer RNA (tRNA) molecules are approximately 80 nucleotides in length. Their secondary structure includes four short double-helical elements and three loops (D, anti-codon, and T loops). Further hydrogen bonds mediate the characteristic L-shaped molecular structure. tRNAs have two regions of fundamental functional importance: the anti-codon, which is responsible for specific mRNA codon recognition, and the 3' end, to which the tRNAs corresponding amino acid is attached (by aminoacyl-tRNA synthetases). tRNAs cope with the degeneracy of the genetic code in two manners: having more than one tRNA (with a specific anti-codon) for a particular amino acid; and 'wobble' base-pairing, i.e. permitting non-standard base-pairing at the 3rd anti-codon position.
Source: RNAcentral
GGCCAGUUGGUGAAGCGACUUAACACACCGCCCUUUCACGGCGGCAUUCUCGGGUUUGAAUCCCGAACUGGUCACCA